Gasterosteus aculeatus (three-spined stickleback) is the source of this 1077-nucleotide long non-coding RNA. The record is from Ensembl. NCBI's taxonomy places the organism in Eukaryota, Metazoa, Chordata, Actinopteri, Perciformes, Gasterosteidae.
AGCGCUGUCACCGGACGCGGCUUUCCCGGUUUCAGGUUGGACCAGAGGUUCACUAUUGUUUGUCUCUGUGGGGGACGCGGCCGCCAGGUGGUGCCAGAGAAACGUAUCUUUUUGGAUGCGUCUUGUUCGAACAGAGGAAUUGGUUAUUUUUCUUAUUCGGGUCCCAUUACCAGGAAGAGCUUUCAUUAGGAUUUUAAGAAGCCGCCCACCGAGUGUACUCGCGAAGAGAGGACUUCAAAAAGCGGUUGUGUAAUGUCUACGGUGGGAGCCAGGAAAAUGAGUCAGGAAAACAAAAGAAAAAAAAUAAACCUGAUGAUGUGGUCAGUUCAGUUUAUAUCAUAUUUGGUUUCCCCAAUUACCUGGGUAGGCGGCACGGUGGCGUGGUGGUUAGCACUGUUGCCUCACAGCAAGAAGGUCCUGGGUUCGAUUCCGCCCAGUGGCCUUUCUGUGUGGAGUCUGCAUGUUCUCCCCGUGUCUGCGUGGGUUCUCUCUGGGUUCUCUGGCUUCCUCCCACAGACAUGAUGCUCUGGGGAUCAGGUUAAUUGGGGACUUUAAAUUGUGAAUGGUUGUAUGUCUCUGUGUUAGCCCUGCGAUUGGCUGGCGACCAAUCCAGGAUGUACCCUGUCUAUCGCCCGAAGUUGGCUGGGAUGGACUCCAGCCCCCCCCCCCGCGACCCUGUGUGCAGGAUAAGUGGUUUGACAAUGGAUGGAUGCAUGGAUUACCUGGGCGGAGUCUGAUGGCUGCCUGCUGUCACACCUGUCCUGCAUAUACAAUUGUCAGGAACCCUUCUUAAGGAGCAGCAGGAGCACCAGUCUUCGCCAGAUCGUUUUGCCCUCCAAGCCUCGUCCCAGCCUGCUUCCACCUGAGCCCGACGGAUUCCCUGGCUUCCCCCUCGCCCUCCGCGGCUCGGGAGAAUCCCCUCCAGCCAGACGGAUCAUUGCCUCUCCCUCCAGCGUGGCUUCCAUCAAUUGUAUUGCUCCUGCCGCCCGGACCCUUGUGCCUGCCUGCUUCUCCAGCGUCUCCCCCCGGCCACGGAUUCAGCGCUACCUAUUUAAAUCCAUUUGCUGCCGAAAAUAA